This 253-nucleotide ribosomal RNA is filed under the name uncultured bacterium. Its description in RNAcentral is "partial 16S ribosomal RNA". It matches the Rfam family "Bacterial small subunit ribosomal RNA", at positions 524 to 776 of the family's 1533-position model. The record is from RNAcentral.
UACAGAGGGGGCAAGCGUUGUUCGGAAUUACUGGGCGUAAAGGGCGCGUAGGCGGCCAACUCAGUCGGACGUGAAAUCCCCUGGCUCAACCAGGGAACUGCGUCCGAUACUGGCUGGCUUGAAUCCGGGAGAGGGAUGUGGAAUUCCAGGUGUAGCGGUGAAAUGCGUAGAUAUCUGGAGGAACACCGGUGGCGAAGGCGGCAUCCUGGACCGGUACUGACGCUGAGGCGCGAAAGCCAGGGGAGCAAACGGG